GCGCCCGUAGCGUAACGGAUAACGCACUAGCCUCCGGAGCUAGACAUGGCAGUUCGAUUCUGCCCGGGCGCGCCA
RNAcentral lists this transfer RNA (75 nucleotides) under Candidatus Omnitrophota bacterium. RNAcentral's name for it is "tRNA-Arg". It matches the Rfam family "tRNA". From Rfam's summary of the family: Transfer RNA (tRNA) molecules are approximately 80 nucleotides in length. Their secondary structure includes four short double-helical elements and three loops (D, anti-codon, and T loops). Lineage: Bacteria; Pseudomonadati; Candidatus Omnitrophota. The record is from RNAcentral.